Rattus rattus (black rat) is the source of this 104-nucleotide small nuclear RNA. The record is from RefSeq and is a predicted model, not a curated record. Lineage: Eukaryota; Metazoa; Chordata; Mammalia; Rodentia; Muridae.
GUGCUUGCUUUGGCAACAUACAUACUAAAAUUGGAACUACACAAAGAUUAGCAUGGAUCCUGUACAAAAAUGACCGGCAAAUCAGGGCGCAGUCCAUAGUUGUC